UAUGAGCACUCCCAUAUCACUCCGAUUA
This 28-nucleotide small RNA is filed under the name Bombyx mori (domestic silkworm). Its description in RNAcentral is "ovarian small RNA-23884". The record is from RNAcentral. Lineage: Eukaryota; Metazoa; Arthropoda; Insecta; Lepidoptera; Bombycidae.